AUAAAGGAAAAAAGCAGAAGGUAAUAGUAAAAUGUCCAUUUCAUCAUAAUUUUUUCCAAUGAUUAUCAUACUAAUAUUGAUUUCCUUUUUUUCGUUUUGUAACGAACAUUUGUGCGCACAAUGACUGCACCCUCUUCAGCAGCUCAGUUUGCAGCAUCUUCAAUGCCUUCUUCAACUCAGAUGUCAAUUUUGUCACAAGCUUCAAGUUCAAGGGGUCAACCAAGUCAUUGAUGCAAAUGGGUGGUUUUUUUGUUUGCUGCAGCAGCAGGUUAACUUGUGCAUCUCUUUGUCUAUCUGCACUUUUCCAAUCAUCAGAUUCGUGAAGCCACAAACACCAUGUUGUUCAAGAUUUUCAAAGAGGACUAUGCCACACUUCAAGACUUACGCAACUUU
Molecule: long non-coding RNA, 393 nt
Organism: Pistacia vera
Lineage: Eukaryota; Viridiplantae; Streptophyta; Magnoliopsida; Sapindales; Anacardiaceae
Exons: 3
Source: RefSeq, a predicted model, not a curated record